GAAAAAUUCUAUCCAACCCCCAAAUUCCAGCAAGCACCUAAUCCACUCCUUGCCCCCCACAGGCUUCACAGUGUCAGCUGUUAUAUUCCACGGACUGUUAGCUUCCUCUUCCCGCCACCCUGCCUCCCCUGCGGCCAGUGAAACUGUGGGUUCUAUAUUUACCUGUAUUUCUGACUCUUCCUGACCCUCCCAGGUGCCUUGAGGAACGCCUUGCACACAGCAGGUCCUGGAGGAAUGGCCGGGGAACUGAAUUAUUUGUACAACAUCUUUACAAUUAUUUUUGGGUUUUCGUUGACAUAUCUUAUCUUCGAGUGAUAACAAGUUCCUCAAGGGCAGAGGCUGUCUUUUAUUUCCAUCUUGCUGUAUUCAAAUGUCUAGCCCUAGAUGGGCUGUCUGUGGUCAUUCUUAAAUUUGAAAGACAAAACCUUAGCUGGUCCCUUAGCCACUCUCUGAUUUCCUUCCUUGUAAAUUAGAAGGGAAUUAUGCCUGUCCCUCACAAGCUUUGGAAAGAAGUUUGAGACCCUCAAAUAUGGAACGACUGAAUAGGUUGGCAGAAACCUUCUGUAGGAGUGGAGAGUUCUCAGGCUCUUGCCCUGAAAUCUAUUCAUCUGCCUCAAGGGUCUCUUCCUCCAGGAAGAUUUCUCUGACUUUCCCAGGAUCCCUCCUUGGGGCUCCCAAUUUAAACCAUUGCUAAUGAUCUGUUUACUGCUGCUCUUCCAAGGCAAGGGCCAUGGGGUUCUUUCUUCCCUGAGUGCCAGGAUUGACUCCUUGGUGAGAGGUUUUUGACUGCACUGACUCCCGCUUACACCUGGAAGUUGAUGAGGAAUAAGUCAGCUGUGUGUCUGGGCCAUCCGUAGGUGAGCUCCAUCCUGCAAAUACUCAAGGAGAAAACAGACGAGAUAAUAUAACACGGAGUGAGAUGAGAGCUAGAAUUGAAAACCUUGGGGCUGGCCCUGUGGCCGAGUGCUUAAGUUCGCACGCUGCGCUGCAGGCGGCCCAGUGUUUUGUUGGUUCGAAUCCUGGGCGCGGACAUGGCACUGCUCAUCAAAUCAUGCUGAGGCAGCGUCCCACAUGCCACAACUAGAAGGACCCACAACGAAGAAUAUACAACUAUGUACCGGGGGGCUUUGGGGAGAAAAAGGAAAAAAAUAAAAUCUUAAAA
RNAcentral lists this long non-coding RNA (1162 nucleotides) under Equus asinus (donkey). RNAcentral describes it as "lncRNA (ENSEASG00005027730.1)". The record is from RNAcentral. Lineage: Eukaryota; Metazoa; Chordata; Mammalia; Perissodactyla; Equidae.